This 424-nucleotide small RNA is filed under the name Pongo abelii (Sumatran orangutan). Its description in RNAcentral is "retained intron". The record is from RNAcentral. Lineage: Eukaryota; Metazoa; Chordata; Mammalia; Primates; Hominidae.
CAUUUAGUAUGAGGGUGCCACCUGGAAAAUACAUGUUUAAUGUUUAUUGAAAGGUUAAAUUGCGUAAGGGUUUGUGUUAGACUGAUAGCAUAUCUACUGAAUAGUGCCCCCGCCCUGCCACCAAGUUUCUGAUUCUUUUUCUUUUCUCUCAGAAUCAUCAGACUCAGGUACAUCUGUGAGUGAGAACAGGUGUCACCUUGAAGGUGGGCGUGAUCAAAAGGACCUUGUGCAAGAGCUUCAGGAAGAGAAACCUUCAUCUUCACAUUUGGUUUCUAGACCAUCUACCUCAUCCAGAAGGAGAGCAAUUAGUGAGACAGGUAUAUAUGAGUAUUUAUUCGACGCAUUCACACAGCUUUUUGAUAUUCUUUCUCUAAUGAAAUUAGUGCUUUUAGACUUAAUUAAAUUGUUCCCUUUUUUUGGUUGA